This is an RNA transcript of Dama dama (fallow deer), 3610 nucleotides long. It is a transcript of the gene named zinc finger protein 525-like, with no coding region annotated. The record is from RefSeq and is a predicted model, not a curated record. The transcript has 4 exons. NCBI's taxonomy places the organism in Eukaryota, Metazoa, Chordata, Mammalia, Artiodactyla, Cervidae.
ACCCGGAAGCGGAGAGAGGGGCGCAGCCCUUGUUUUUUCUGUCACGACUGGGUAUUUUAGACGCCCCUCAAGUCCCCGAUCCGCCACAUCCGAGGUUCAGGGGUCGUCACGUACGUUAAGACCCCUUCAACCACUCGUUCCGCGCUCGGACCAUCUUCUCAAGACCAGGCUUCGCCUGAGGAAGAAACCUAGAAGAGGAGGAAGAAGAAAGAAAAGGAGUCAGGCAUGGCUCUUUCUCAGGCACAGGUGACCGUCAAGGAUGUGGCCAUCGAAGUCUCUCAGGAGGAGUGGGAAUUCCCGGACCCUGCUCAGAGGACCUUGUACCGGGACGUGAUGGUGGAGACCUACAGGAACCUGCUGUCUGUGGGUCUGUUGCUAUGACAGAGGACCCACUGGAUUCUGAGAAACCAAUGUUCUACCAGUCGAGUGUGAAACAGAGCAGCCAUUAAGAGACUGAGAUAUUCUUGACAAUAGCAUGAUAUGUUAGUAGGGAUUGCUUUCUGUGGUAGAAAUAAUGGAGAGGAAAUCACGGUCAUCCUCUCUUUUCAAAGAAAGUAACUGUUGUAUGUCAAAGAUGAGGGAAGAAUUAGUCUUACUCUUAGUGACUAAAGAUAGCAGUUAUCUGGGACAUCCCUGGUGGUCCAGGGCUUCCCUGGUGGCUCAGACUAUAAAGAAUCUGCCUGUAUUGCAGGAGACCUGGGUUCGAUCCCUGGGUCGGGAAGAUCCCCUGGAGGAGGGCAUGGCAACCCACUCCAGUAUUUUUGCUUGGGAAUUCCAUGGACAAGGAGCCUGAUGGGCUAUAGUCCAUGGAGUCACAAAGUGUCAGACAUGACUGAGCAACUAACACCUCAAACUUCCCUGGUGGUCCAGUGGCUAAGACUCCUUGCUUCCAAUGCAGGGGGCCCAGGUUUGAUCCCUGGUCAAGGAACUAGAUCCCCCUUGCUGCAAAAAGAUCCUGUAAAUAAAUUCAAAAAAGAGAAAUCAGUUAUCAGAGAGGAAAACUUAAUCAAAACACCCAGAAUGCACUAUACAUGUGUAAGAUUCAUGUUUAACCACUGUAUCACUAUGAUACUAUUUUAUUCAGAAUGUGUCAUAGUUGUCAUGCUUUAUUAAUAAAAUUUAAUCAUUGUAAAACUCUAAAUGAAGUUUUUUCUAUCUUAUCAAGCCUAUCCACCUCACUGUGGUACUUCAUAACAAAUACUAACAAUACAUCUGUAGGCAGUCAGGUUGAAAGGCACCUGUAACAAUUUCUUUGCAUGAUGGAAUCAAACAACAUACAAUCUUAUGAAUAUAUAUUCAUAACUUCCUUGAGUUUUUUUUUUUUUUUUAUCUACACUCCACCCCGUGCAUAUUUACGUGCCUAUGAAUAAAUACCACAGCAGUACAACUUUAGACUAUGGCUUCCCAGGUGGCACUAGUGGUAAAGAACCCAUCUGCCAAUGCAGGAGACGUAAGAGAUGUGGGUUUGAUCCCUGGGUCAGGAAGAUCCCCUGAAGAAGAAAAUGGCAAGUAUUCUUGCUUGGAGAAUUCCGUGGACAGAGGAGCCUGGUGGGCUACAGACCAUGGGGUCCCAAAGAGUCAUACAGCUGAAGCGACUUAGCAUGCACACAUUGCCCUCUUUAAUGUUUGAAGUACUAUUUGUAAAUGUGUACCAAUGAUUGUAUUUCAACAUGCCCUUUUUUUGUGUGCCUGUGUAAGACCCGUGGCUUGCACUGGCCUUGAUUUGUGCUUAGUCACUGAGUCGUGUCCGACUCUUUGUGACCCCAUGGACUGUAGCCUACCAGGCUCCUCUGUCCUUGGGAUUCUCCAGGCAAGAAUACUGGAGUGGGCUGCCAUUUCCUUCUCCAAGGCCUUGAUUUCCAUGAGGUCAACAUUAAUAGUGUAGCAUAUGUAAUGGGAUUGAAUUACAGCUGAGGAAUUGGUAUAGGAAAACCCAACCUAGGGAACUUUCCUGGUGGUCCAGUGGUUAAGAAUCCACCUGCCAAUGUAGGGGAGGUGGGUUCGAUCCCAGAUCUGGGAAGAUCCCACGUGCCUUGGGGCGACUAAGCCCAUGCACCACAACUAUUGAGCCUUCCCACUGCAGCUACUGAGCCCUGUCCCGCAACUGCUGAAGCAUGCGUGCCCUCGAACCCGUGCCCUGCACCAAGAGAAGAGCCUGCACAGCAACCAAGACCCAGCACAGCCAUAGAUAAAUAAAUAAUCUUUUUUUUUGAAAGGGAACUGACAGUGAGCCUGACUUACCAUUUGCCCCAAAGAGGAACAUCUUUAUUUACCCAUAGAGCAAACAAAUCUAUGCACUGUCCCAGAGGGUGACCCUGUACCUUUUUCCCCAAAGCUGUUUUUCAGGCAAACAGGAAAAAAACUGUCUAUAAGACAGGCCCAUACAUGAGAAAUCCAUAAUUGUCUUCCAACAAUGUCUGUCCCUUGUUUCUUUGCCAUAUUCACUGCUGGCAAACAUUCGCACAUGUACACCAGAUGGUCGACUGUUCUUUUUUCCUGACACAUAAGACCAGAUCUAUUUGUUUGCCUCAAGCAACAUUUGAUUAAGUUUAAUAUCUACAGGAUACUAUGUAUCAGGAUGAGGCUUAAUUCACCCCAGUACAGCAAUGUAGGGGACUUCCCUGGUGGCUCAGACAAUAAAGAAUAUCUGCAAUUCAGGAGACCCGCGUUUGAUCCCUGGGUCAGGAAGAUCCCCUGGAGAAUGGAAUGGCAACCCACUCCAGUAUUCUUGCCUAGAGAAUUCCAUGGACAGAGGAUACUGAUGGGCUACAGUCCAUAGGGUCAUAAAGAGUUGGACACGACUGAGUGACUAAUACUUUCACAUUUCAUAGCGAUGUAGGUUCCACACUGAACCAGCUGUAAAGCUCAAUACCCAUUAGCAUGGAUUUUAUUUUUUAAUUAAAAAUCUUUUAAAGGAUGACUGUUUUAAAAAAGUUAAUUACAGAUUUUAUUAAACCCAAAUGGCCAUUCACAUAUAAUCAAUACACUGUGACUUUUUUUUUGGUCAUGCCUUUCAGCUUGCAGGAUCUUAGUUCCCUGAUAAGGGAUCAAACCCGCUGCCUGGCAGUGGAAGUGUGGAGUCUGAACUACUGGACUCCCAGCGAAGUUCCACAAGCAUGUCUAUUAGAAAGACUUUUGAUUUUUCCCUAAGUUUCUGCAUUAACAUUCUCAAGUGAUGAGUGAAUAGACAAUGGAUUAUUGUGCAAAAACUAGCAAUUUACAUAAUUCUGACUAAAAGUGACAGCUUUUGUAUUCAUUAUCCACGCAAAGUAGAGCCUGGGUGUCGUGGAGUCAAGUCUCUUGAGCAGAAAGGGGCUAAUCGUUGAAAAACACAGAAAUUAGGGCAGAAGUUUUCAGGAACCACCAAUUGGGAUUAUGAAAAACAAAGUAAGGAAUGUGAAAGAUGGAGGAAAGGGUGUAAAAAAAGAUACAAAGGUGCUCACAAGAACAAGGAUGUUCUGGGUAGCUCUGGACUCAGCAGAGGAUCUGGGAGACACUCUCUUCCUAGCAAUGUGUUGGACUCAUUGUUUGUGUCUGUGUACGAUGAUAACAAUGAAGCCUCUGGUCCAGAUUGUGAGCACAAAAAAUACAGCUUCAGGGACCACUGUCA